This 384-nucleotide unclassified non-coding RNA is filed under the name soil metagenome. RNAcentral's name for it is "partial contains 5.8S ribosomal RNA, internal transcribed spacer 2, and large subunit ribosomal RNA". The stretch from base 1 to 120 matches the Rfam family "5.8S ribosomal RNA", at positions 35 to 154 of the family's 154-position model. The record is from RNAcentral.
GAUGAAGAACGUAGCGAAAUGCGAUAAGUAAUGUGAAUUGCAGAAUUCAGUGAAUCAUCGAAUCUUUGAACGCACCUUGCACCCUUUGGCAUUCCGAAGGGUAUGCUCGUUUGAGUGUCAUUGUACUCUCACACUCCCAAUUGCUUUGGAUUGGGAGCGGUGGACUUGGGUGUUGCUGCUUGACUGAGGCUCACCUGAAAUAUGUUAGUGCACCUCUUGAUUGGACAUAGUACGGCGUGAUAAGUGUCUUCGCCGGCUCCUCGCAAAGAGGGUGGCCGAUCGGGAGCUCUGUUGCUUCAAACUGUCUUCGGACAAUCUUCUGGCGACUUGACCUCAAAUCGAGUAGGACUACCCGCUGAACUUAAGCAUAUCAAUAAGCGGGGA